RNAcentral lists this ribosomal RNA (522 nucleotides) under uncultured freshwater bacterium. RNAcentral describes it as "bacterial SSU rRNA". It matches the Rfam family "Bacterial small subunit ribosomal RNA", at positions 8 to 543 of the family's 1533-position model. The record is from RNAcentral.
AGAGUUUGAUCCUGGCUCAGGAUGAACGCUAGCGGCGGGCUUAAUACAUGCAAGUCAAGGGGUAGCAAUACACCGGCGUACGGGUGCGUAACGCGUAUGGAACCUGCCCUUAUCUGGGGGAUAACUCGGGGAAACUCGAGCUAAUACCGCAUAAGAUAGUAGAAUGGCAUCAUUCAGCUAUUAAAGAUUUAUUGGAUAAGGAUGGCCAUGCGUAAGAUUAGAUAGUUGGCGAGGUAACGGCUCACCAAGUCUACGAUCUUUAGGGGCUCUGAGAGGAGAAUCCCCCACACUGGCACUGAGAUACGGGCCAGACUCCUACGGGAGGCAGCAGUAGGGAAUAUUGGGCAAUGGGCGGAAGCCUGACCCAGCCACGCCGCGUGCAGGAAGACGGCCCUCUGGGUUGUAAACUGCUUUUAACUGGGAAGAAAAGAGGCCUUGCGAGGCAAGUUGACGGUACCAGUUGAAUAAGCCACGGCUAACUACGUGCCAGCAGCCGCGGUAAUACGUAGGUGGCGAGCGUUA